AGGACUAAUCUUGCAAUGGGACGCCAGUGACAGGGUUACCGUGGCAACACAGCCGGGACCCGUGACGUCACUUCCGCUGGAAGUAGACAGCCCAGGGGGACGGAGCCGGGCCCGGGACGUGUGAGCAGCGGUGACCAGGAUGGGGGAGACUACAGGGACACCAAGGUCCCAGAGUAUGGAGGAAGAAUGGAGAGGCAAACAAUCCAAUAUGCUUGAAGUCCAGUGUGAAGUUUCCACAGUCUGUGUUGAUUUGAGGAGCCAUGUCAUCUGCAGAGUCAAUGCAUCCGUCUACCAGGACAUUUUAGAGCACUUCAUGCUUCCUUCAGAAGACAAGCUUUAUGGAGAUGCUGACUUCAUUUUCCAGCAGGACUUGGUACCUGCCCACACUGCCAAAAGUACCAAAACCUGGUUCAAUGGAAUUACUGUACUGGAUUUGCCAGCAAACUCGCCUGACCUGAAUCCCAUAGAGAAUCUAUGGGACAUUGCCAAGAGAAAGAUGAGAGACAUGAGACCGAAACAAUGCAGAAGAGUUGAAGGCUGCUAUUGAAGCAUCCUGGUCUUCCAUAACACCUCAGCAGCGCCACAGGCUGAUAGAAUCCAUGCCACGCCGCAUUGAGGCAGUAAUUCAUGCAAAAGGGGCCCAAACCAAGUACUGAGUACAUAUACAUGAUUAUAUUUUUUAGAGGGCUGACAUUUCUGUAUUUAAUAUCCUUUUUUUUAAUUGAUUUUAUGUAAUAUUCUAAUUUUCUGAGAUUUUGGAUUUGGGGUUAUUUUAAACUGUAAGUCACAAUCAUCAAAAUUAUAACAAAUAAAGGCUUGAAAUAUC
This is a long non-coding RNA of Pseudophryne corroboree (corroboree frog), 826 nucleotides long. RefSeq lists it as uncharacterized. The record is from RefSeq and is a predicted model, not a curated record. The transcript has 3 exons. Lineage: Eukaryota; Metazoa; Chordata; Amphibia; Anura; Myobatrachidae.